RNAcentral lists this non-coding RNA (31 nucleotides) under Rattus norvegicus (Norway rat). The record is from RNAcentral. Lineage: Eukaryota; Metazoa; Chordata; Mammalia; Rodentia; Muridae.
UGGGACAUGUUUCCUGACAGCUCGGGUUGCU